GGAGCUGUGCUGCUGGGGCCCUGACAGGCUCUGUGUUCCCAGGGAUGGCCGGGCGGCUCCUGAGGGGGCAGCAGGAAGAGCUACAGGCCCUCACUGAGGCACUUCAAGCCCUGAGGAGAGAUGGCAACCCUUCCCAUUCAAACACAGCACUUCAGGAGAUAUUCAGUGAAAGAGCUGCAGAACUAUACUCAUCUGCUGGCUCAGAAUAACCAGUGUUCAUUUAAGACCUUCAGAUGCCUUGGAAGAUGAGAUUACACUGAGACCAGAAGGGACCAGCUGGAGCUCAAGCACUGCUGAUGACUGUCACAGCUGAGCCUGUGGGAAGCUCUUGUGGCUUCAGCCCUCUCCCUGCCUCUAGAUAGCUCCCUCCCUGCAGCCCUCAGACACUGCCCAUGCCUUCUUUUUCCCUCCACUCUCCCUCCCUUUUGACAGCUCCCUCCCUCCAGCCCUCAGACCAUGCCCAUCCCCAUUUUUGCCUCUCAGCUCAUCCGUUUGCUUCGCUUUCCAUCAAUAAACAGUUUGACUUUUUCACUUAAA
This is a non-coding RNA of Cyanistes caeruleus (blue tit), 537 nucleotides long. NCBI's taxonomy places the organism in Eukaryota, Metazoa, Chordata, Aves, Passeriformes, Paridae. The record is from RefSeq and is a predicted model, not a curated record.